This 3158-nucleotide long non-coding RNA is filed under the name Homo sapiens (human). RNAcentral's name for it is "non-protein coding lnc-SPOCK3-5:1". The record is from RNAcentral. Lineage: Eukaryota; Metazoa; Chordata; Mammalia; Primates; Hominidae.
AGGCUAUUUUCACAAUACAGCCAACAGAAUUGGCUGAUAUUUUGGAUGGUUAGUGGUUAGUGUGAGAAUUAUGAAAGGAUUCAAGAAUGCCUCUAGUGUUUUUAGCCUGAGACGGGGAAGGAUAGUGUUGGAAUUAAGUGAGAUAGAAGAACUAAGAAUACAGCCAGUUAGGAAGAGAGAUUAGAAGUUCAUUUUUGAAAAUCUUAACAAAAUUUAACAUUUUUGAACACAUAAAGGAACAAUUUUAAAAGAACAAAGAAGUCAUUAGAAUUAUCUAUUUGAUAAUUUAUAAACCUUAGGUGAAUAAGUAAAUAUUUAACCAUAAUAUUUCUUCGACUUAAGAAACCACUUAGCUUGGUAAUACUUUCAUAAGAAGAGUAGUAAUUUCAUUUGAAGAUAGAAAGCUGAGUUUAUUAAAGCUUCUGAAGAUGCUUUAUUGUUUUUCUCCUACAAAUAUUAAAGUUUAAUCCCACAUACAAUAAGUUAUGUUGAAGAUGGAUAAAUAAGUUAUGUAUUACUCCUCAAGCUAACAUGUAUUACUAGACCUUUUUCUUAGCACAAGUCAUUUUGUAAUGUAGCUAUGGCAAGAUUACUGCAGCUUAAAUUAUGUAACUUGAAAGUUACCUAAAAAUUACUAAUUUAGUUAAAGCAGAACUAUGUUUGUGAAAGAGAAAGACAGGAAAAUUAAUUAUUUUCAUUUGUCUUAGUUUCUCAUAACAUAUGACGAAGUUAGAGAAAUGUUCUAGUAAGGGGUCACUCUUUCCUUACCCAGGAAAAUGCUAUUAUUAAUUUAGCUAUCAUGGAAUGUACAAAUUAAUGCAAAAUGUCAUUGCCAGAAACACCUGUACACUGUAAUUGCUUCUGUAUUAUUUAUAAACUACACAGUAAAAAAUGAAGAAGUAAACUGGAAACCAUAAAACUAUUGUGUGUAAUAGAAGACUAGCAGACAGAAUUAUUUGAUAUGAGAGACAUUUAUUCAUUCAACGAAUACUGAUGAGUGCCUAUUAUUUGCCAGGUAACAUUAUAGAUAAAUGAAAUUAAGGGAUACAAAACAGUUCUACUGAUAAAAUAACAUGGAGAAACAAUUAUUUUAUCUCAUGUUUUUGUUGUAUCAGUAGCAGCUAUAAAUCAUUAGUUGAGUCAGAUUUCUCCAAUAAUUAAACAACUUAAUGGAACAAGUUCAGAAAGCAAAUUCACCAUCUUGAUGUCUUAAACCUUUCUUAGAAUAAGAGAGUUGAAAAAUAACUCAAAGUUUCUUUGGGGAUUAGACUUUGGUCCAUUAAAAUUAACACUAAAACCCAAUGCAAUUCCAAUGUAAUUGGCACAAUCACAAACAUUUCCUAAACAGGCCUUCAGGGAACUGAAUGAUUCCUGAUGUGUUAUACCUGGUGUAUUCUUUUUAACGUCUUUAGGAGAUUCUGAUUAAAAAUCAGUUGCAAUAGUCAGGUUAUUAUUAACACAUAAAGAUAAUCAAAGCUCUGUUUACUGAAUUUCAGCUUCACAUAGACAGUUGGAAGGAUAUCUGGCAAGUAUAAACAUCUGGGCUUCAAUGCUGUACUCUUGUACUUUUUUCUGUGACUGUUUUUGAUCAAACAAUUACUGUUGAUUAAAGAGGCAAAUCCAAAACUCAACCUUUGAAAAGUGCGUUUAUUCUAUCUUAAGCUAUUCUUCCUAGCAAACUUUUAUUUUCAUUUAAAAAUUUCAUAAGCAAAAGAAUAUUUUCCACACCUUUCUCCAAACUUCUUUUUAAAAUCUUAGCAGAUUCUUCACAAAAAGAAUAGUACUUUAUCUCUAUCUUAGCCUCACAUCUAACUUUAUAAUACUUAGGACUCUAUACUGAAACAUUUGUUUACGCUAUUCUACAAAGCCAGUUUCUUAUUUUUUUCUCUAGAUCUCACUUAAUCCCCAUAUCUUAGGUUUUGACCAUCCCCUUUCCAGAGUUUUCCAGCAUGAUCUCCCUAUUGGGCAAUUCUCUUCUGCCUUUCCAUGUGCAUGGGUAUCCUUAGUAUUUCUCUUUCUCGCCAAUUUGCCUUUGAAAUACAUGAUGUGACUGCCAUUUUCAUUUCUUUACUAUCCAAUCUUCCUGUCUCUUUCCGUUUAACAUUGAUCAAUUACUAAAGAGAGAAACCAAGUUUUGUCGUUCUGUUUUAUCAAAUUCUUGAAUACUGUUCUCAACUUUUAUUCAGAUGGUACAUAUGAUGGAGAUUGUGAGUAUAGGAGGAAAGCCUUCAUGUGGAUGAAACCCUGACGAUAAGGAUGGGGUUAACAUUAGAUGUAGAAUUAGAAAACUCAAGAUGAACUCAUAAUCUUGGCAGUAUACAUCCUACCACUUUAUGAUGGUAGAAGUGUCCCAAAAGUACCAGCACUACUACUAGUGUGCAUCCACCAGUGCACAUGCGUAUCCACUAUGCAGAUCAUGUUUUAUAUUAUUAUUCAGCCAAAACCAACUGGAAUCCUUGCAAGGUAGCUCUUUCCAUGACUUGAGUCAGGAACAGUUUUUACACGUUAAUGAAAUAGAGUGCUCAAUAGUGUAUUUCAAGAUAACACAUUAGCUCAGUGUCCUAAUGAGUGGGACUAAAGGCACAAAGGUCCUUAUCUCCCAGGACAUGCUUGGUAUUAACAAGGCAUUGGUAAUUUUUUGAAAUAAUAAUAAAUCAGGAAGGUACAUUAGGUUGACAAGGAAAUGAGUUAUGCCCAUUAAAAAUAAAACAUUUAGUGACAGAAGGAGAGAGGGAGGGGCAAGAUCACGUGAUAACCUAAGGUUUAAAUGAAAGGAUUAGGUUUAAGAGUCUUACUUAUCAAACAAGUAAUGUGUACUCUGGUGAUCCCCAACCUUUUUGGCACCAGGGGCCUGUUUUGUGGAAGAUAAUUUUUUCCACAGAUGGAGGGGAGGAUGGUUUUGGGAUGACACCGUUCCACCUCAGAUCAUCAGGCAUUACAAUCUUAUAAGGAGCACAGGACUUAGAUCCCUCACAUGCGCAGUUCACAAUAGGCUUCCUGCUCCUAUGUGAAUUGAAUGCCACCGCUGAUCUGACAGGAGGUGAAGCUCAGGCAGUAACGCUCACUCUCCCACCACUCAGCGCCUGCUGUGCAGCCCAGUUUCUAACAGGACACGGACCACUACUGGUCCAUGGCCUGAGGGUUGGGGACCAGUGCUC